This is a non-coding RNA of Citrus sinensis (sweet orange), 89 nucleotides long. The record is from Rfam. Lineage: Eukaryota; Viridiplantae; Streptophyta; Magnoliopsida; Sapindales; Rutaceae.
UGGAUGGAUGAUGAAAUAAAUCAGACGGAUUCCCAAUGAUUUUGUUUUAAUCAAAAUAUGAUAUUAACAACCAGCUACUUCUGACUCCA